CAGAGGGGUUUGCUACAUUGCGUGUCCCCCCCUGCUACUAUUUAUUCAUUAAAGCCUUAAUGGCAAAACUAAUGGCACAGUUGCACACUCCAUUGUCGGAUUAACAACAGCAUGAACUGAAGUCAUCAAACAUCAAAAAUAACAUAUGCUGCCCUACAUAACACCAGAAGAGACAACCUUUGAUGGUUGGACGGAUCAGCAAGCAGCGCAGCGGAGGUAGUAAACAGGUGGACGGAUCAGCAAACGGCGGCGUGGAGGUGGCAUGCAGGCGGCCAUGAUAGCGAGAAUAAUGAUGAGUACCAUGACAAUCCCCUUCAAAUCCAAACCAUUACUGCCGUCACAAAAUUGAGUGCACAUGAUCUUGCCCAUAUUCUAAACCUUGUAAUAAGAGCCUCUUUUUUGGUCCUUCCGUGCUCUCCUCUGAAAUGGAAACGCAACAAUAAAGAGAAAUGAUAGGUGAUUUUUUGUUUGGU
Molecule: unclassified non-coding RNA, 473 nt
Filed under: Hevea brasiliensis (rubber tree)
Lineage: Eukaryota; Viridiplantae; Streptophyta; Magnoliopsida; Malpighiales; Euphorbiaceae
Source: RNAcentral